AUGCCUAGCAUCAUAGGGAAAAACAGCUGGAGCAAUUGAAGUUAGGGUUAAGGAUCUCAAGGGCUUGGACUUCUCAGAGAUGAAGAUCUGGAUCACUCCAUCAGGCAAGCAACGAAGACCAGAUGAAAUGCUGCUUGAAGGGCUGGCAUAUCUAGAAUUGGUGGUAGAAAUAACAAAUAAAGAAACUGGAGCAGAAAAUCAGUCACAUUAAAUUUACCACCAUUCAAAAAGCCAAGGCACUGAAAAUGCUUGGAUAUCAUACAGAUAGUUUCAUUAUCUUCUUUUUAGAGGCACUCUGAAUGUGAAUUGCAUCUGAGUCAGUCUAUCCUUCCAGGAAUUGAAUUAGUUUUCCUCACACUCUCAGAGGAGGCAAUGCAUAACACAAGUUACAUGUCAGGAGCAUUCCCCAGAGAUGAUGAUUUUGAUUCAACAUCCUACUGUUUCAAAAAUAUAGCAAUAUAAUUUUAAUAUGCUAUUGGGCAUAUAUUCUGGUGGCAGUUUACCACUUCGAAAGGGAUCAGAUUAAAAUGUCUUUAUUAGAGGUCAAAA
This 549-nucleotide long non-coding RNA is filed under the name Homo sapiens (human). RNAcentral's name for it is "HSALNT0373824". Lineage: Eukaryota; Metazoa; Chordata; Mammalia; Primates; Hominidae. The record is from RNAcentral.